This 484-nucleotide ribosomal RNA is filed under the name uncultured bacterium. RNAcentral's name for it is "partial 16S ribosomal RNA". It matches the Rfam family "Bacterial small subunit ribosomal RNA", at positions 30 to 507 of the family's 1533-position model. The record is from RNAcentral.
AUUGAACGCUAGCGGGAUGCUUUACACAUGCAAGUCGAACGGCAGCGCGGACUUCGGUCUGGCGGCGAGUGGCGAACGGGUGGGUAAUGUAUCGGAACGUGCCCAGUAGCGGGGGAUAACUACGCGAAAGCGUAGCUAAUACCGCAUACGCCCUACGGGGGAAAGCAGGGGAUCGUAAGACCUUGCACUAUUUGAGCGGCCGAUAUCGGAUUAGCUAGUUGGUGAGGUAACGGCUCACCAAGGCGACGAUCCGUAGCUGGUUUGAGAGGACGACCAGCCACACUGGGACUGAGACACGGCCCAGACUCCUACGGGAGGCAGCAGUGGGGAAUUUUGGACAAUGGGGGCAACCCUGAUCCAGCCAUCCCGCGUGUGCGAUGAAGGCCUUCGGGUUGUAAAGCACUUUUGGCAGGAAAGAAACGUCGCGGGCUAAUACCCCGUGGAACUGACGGUACCUGCAGAAUAAGCACCGGCUAACUACGUG